Molecule: non-coding RNA, 28 nt
Filed under: Mus musculus (house mouse)
Lineage: Eukaryota; Metazoa; Chordata; Mammalia; Rodentia; Muridae
Source: RNAcentral
UGGCCUCCCAAGUUAAUGUGUAUGUUGC